AGUGAACGCUGGCGGUAGGCCUAACACAUGCAAGUCGAACGGCAGCACGGUAAGAGCUUGCUCUUACGGGUGGCGAGUGGCGGACGGGUGAGGAAUACAUCGGAAUCUACUUUUUCGUGGGGGAUAACGUAGGGAAACUUACGCUAAUACCGCAUACGACCUACGGGUGAAAGCAGGGGAUCUUCGGACCUUGCGCGAUUGAAUGAGCCGAUGUCGGAUUAGCUAGUUGGCGGGGUAAAGGCCCACCAAGGCGACGAUCCGUAGCUGGUCUGAGAGGAUGAUCAGCCACCCUGGAACUGAGACACGGUCCAGACUCCUACGGGAGGCAGCAGUGGGGAAUAUUGGACAAUGGGCGCAAGCCUGAUCCAGCCAUACCGCGUGGGUGAAGAAGGCCUUCGGAUUGUAAAGCCCUUUUGUUGGGAAAGAAAAGCAGCAGGUUAAUACCCCGCUGUUCUGACGGUACCCAAAGAAUAAGCACCGGCUAACUUCGUG
RNAcentral lists this ribosomal RNA (492 nucleotides) under uncultured bacterium. RNAcentral describes it as "partial 16S ribosomal RNA". It matches the Rfam family "Bacterial small subunit ribosomal RNA", at positions 29 to 507 of the family's 1533-position model. The record is from RNAcentral.